Molecule: long non-coding RNA, 1401 nt
Filed under: Sus scrofa (pig)
Lineage: Eukaryota; Metazoa; Chordata; Mammalia; Artiodactyla; Suidae
Description: lncRNA (ENSSSCG00070013743.1)
Source: RNAcentral
AAACUUGCGCCAGCAGCACACCAGGGGGACGCCGAAGUUGGAAAGUCUGCAGCGGAGGAGAGUGGGGCGUUGCCUGAGACUGGCUCCUACAGAUUGUGGAGGUGAUACUGUUGGUGGCAGGGAAGAAUGAAGAGGGCUUUCUUUUAGUGGAAGAAAGUUUUGCAGCCUGAGGUUCCUUACUCUGUCUAGCUGUGGUCGAGGUUAUGCAGCCAAAGCUGCAGGUGGAAAGAAGCAACUGCAUACAAGACUCUACCGAGAGAAGAUGGAAAGCAGCCAACGGCAUUGACAGGAUUUAUGUGCCAGAAGGCAAGAGUGGGGACAUGCAAGGUUUUCUGAGGUCUUCAAGGAGUAGUUUCUGGUGGAAGGUGCUUUGCACAGGGAUGAAUGUUGUCAGCAGAUAGAGUGGAGAGAGUUACUCCUGAUUGAUGGCCAGGAGACCAAGAGGAAGUGGGUACCUGAGCAGCAGGAUUACUGGAGCCACGGAGAUGAGCUACAUCCAGAUUCUUUUUUUUUUUUUUUUUUUUUGCCUUUUCUAGGGCCACACCUGCAGCAUAUGGAGAUUCCCAGGCUAGGGGUCAAAUCGGAGCUGUAGCUGCCAACCUACGCCAGAGCCACAGCCACGUGGGAUCCGAGCCGCGUCUGUGACCUACACCACAGCUCACAGCAAUUCUGGAUCCUUAACCCAGUGAGCAAGGCCAGGGAUCGAACCAUCCACCUCAUGGUUCCUAGUUGGAUUCGUUAACUACUGAGCCACGACAGGAACUCCUACAUCCAGAUUCUGACUACGCAAACCAGCAUGGUCUCCAGGAGAGCAGCAGCCUGACCCUCACAGCCACGUGUGCAAUGCAGGUCUCCCACCAAGAGUACUGAGAAUUUAUAACAUUUAAUCUUUGGCAAUUUAAUGAAUUUAAAUGACAUGUUUUUGGUGUUUUGUUUGUGUGUUGUUUGUUUUGGUCAUGCCCUUGGCAUGCAGAAGUUCCCAAGCCAGAGAUCGAUCCUAAGCCACGGCAGUGACAACACCAGAUCCUGAACCUGCCAAGCCACCAAGGAACUCUAUGGCAUAUUUUAUUUUCGUUUUGUACCUUAAAAAGUGAUUUUUUUUUACAUAUUGAUAAAUAUCCAUGUUCUUCCUCAGUAAAGUAUCCGUCUAUAUCUCCUAAAAAAAAAAAAAAAAAGGAAUAAUAGUGGAUCGUAAUCUAUAUAGUAAGGAUGUUAACUUUUUAGUUUCAUGUUUGUUGCAGAUCUUUCUUCAUUUGGCACUUGCAUCUAGUUCAGACUAUGAUUUUUGAUGUAAAAAAUAUUUAAACUUUAGGAGUUCCCAUCGUGGCUCAGUGGUUAACAAACAUGACUAGUAUCCAUGGGGAUGUGGGUUUGAUCCCUGGCCAUGCUCAGUGGGUUAAG